GACGAACGCUGGCGGCGUGCUUAACACAUGCAAGUCGAACGGAAAGGCCCCUUUGGGGGUACUCGAGUGGCGAACGGGUGAGUAACACGUGAGUAACCUGCCCUUGACUUCGGGAUAACUUCAGGAAACUGGGGCUAAUACCGGAUAGGAAUCCUUGCUGCAUGGUGGGGGUUGGAAAGCUUCGGCGGUUUUGGAUGGACUCGCGGCUUAUCAGCUUGUUGGUGGGGUAGUGGCUUACCAAGGCUUUGACGGGUAGCCGGCCUGGGAGGGCGACCGGCCACAUUGGGACUGAGAUACGGCCCAGACUCCUACGGGAGGCAGCAGUGGGGAAUAUUGCACAAUGGGCGGAAGCCUGAUGCAGCAACGCCGCGUGCGGGAUGACGGCCUUCGGGUUGGAAACCGCUUUCAGCAGGGGCGAAGCUUGUGGUGACGGUACCUGCAGAAGAAGCACCGGCUAACUACGUG
This 465-nucleotide ribosomal RNA is filed under the name uncultured bacterium. RNAcentral's name for it is "partial 16S ribosomal RNA". It matches the Rfam family "Bacterial small subunit ribosomal RNA", at positions 28 to 507 of the family's 1533-position model. The record is from RNAcentral.